GCACCACAACAGGUGGAGCCUGCGGUUUAAUACGGACUCAACGCCGGGAAACUCACCAGAUAAGACAGCUGAAUGAUAGUCGGGCUGAAGACUCUACUUGACUAGCUGAGAGGAGGUGCAUGGCCGUCGUCAGUUCGUACUGUGAAGCAUCCUGUUAAGUCAGGCAACGAGCGAGACCCACGCCAACAGUUGCCAGCUCGUCCUCCGGGAUGGUGGGGACACUGUUGGGACCGCCUCUGCUAAAGAGGAGGAAGGAAUGGGCAACGGUAGGUCAGCAUGCCCCGAAUUAUCUGGGCUACACGCGGGCUACAAUGGGUGGGACAAUGGGUAUCGACACCGAAAGGUGAAGGCAAUCUCCUAAACCCAUCCGUAGUUCGGAUUGUGGGCUGCAACUCGCCCACAUGAAGCUGGAAUCUGUAGUAAUCGUGUCUCAAAAUGGCACGGUGAAUAUGUCCCUGCUCCUU
This 464-nucleotide ribosomal RNA is filed under the name uncultured Methanomicrobiales archaeon. Its description in RNAcentral is "bacterial SSU rRNA". It matches the Rfam family "Archaeal small subunit ribosomal RNA", at positions 876 to 1338 of the family's 1478-position model. Lineage: Archaea; Methanobacteriati; Methanobacteriota; Methanomicrobia; Methanomicrobiales. The record is from RNAcentral.